Molecule: long non-coding RNA, 6981 nt
Filed under: Salmo salar (Atlantic salmon)
Lineage: Eukaryota; Metazoa; Chordata; Actinopteri; Salmoniformes; Salmonidae
Description: lncRNA (ENSSSAG00000104582.1)
Source: RNAcentral
AUUCAAGUGUGUUACCUGUGAGCGGGUGCAGAUGGACUCAGCUUGGAACAGGCUAUGUUGUAUCCGCUGUCAAACCGUCUUUGUGAUAUUAAGUUUCUCUUUGCAAGAACUAAAAAGAGCAGCUUCCUUUAACCGGGGAUGCAACAGAUUGGCAAUGAGGUACCAGAGUUUUUGUCUGAAAGGGAACAGAGCGAGCAAAAAAGUGCUAGCUCCGUCGAGACAGCCUGUGUAGAAAAGCUAGCACCGAAGAUGGCGUUAGGCAAGGCUUUUCACUUCGAGGAAAGUGAGGAAAGUUUCGAAGCCUAUUUGGAAAGGUUGGAACGGUAUUUUGAAGCUAAUGGGCUCAAGUACGAGGAUGAAUUUUUCUGACGAUUGUUGGCAGAAAGACUGACAAUUUGUGAAUGGACUUAUGUGCACCAUAGAAACCAUGUGAAAAAAUGUUGACAGAGCUGGUCGCACUGUUGAAAAGUCACUACGUAGCGAGGAUGAAUUUUAAGUUUCAUGCAAGGAGUCAACUCGAGGGAGAGUUGAUUAGUGAGUACCUGACCAGUUUAACUAUCAGCCAAAUGUAAAUUUGGUUAGUUUCUUGAAGAGUCAUUAAGUGAUAGAUUUGUGUGCAGGGUUAAAAGAGCAGAGCUGAGAGACCGUUUACUGAACGUAGCUCACACAACAUACUUAACAUUAGCACUUGCUGUGGAUAUGGGACUUUCUUUUGAAGUAACAAAGAAAAGUGCACAGCAGUUUUCACAGACUUUUAAAGAAAAUGCAGUGGAGAAGAAAAGCUUUGCCAAGAAAAUGGAGGCAACAGGUUAACCAUGUUGACAUUGCGCAGGAAAAGGGCACAAGUCAGAUGAGUGCUGCUACAAGGAUCGGGAGUGCAAGAAGAAAAGGACAUAUUGCAGGGGCAUGCCGCUCACGUCAAGCGGGGAAAAAAAUGACACGAAGCAAGCGAAAUGGAACAAGCACCUGGAUGCUACUGAGGGAGAAGCCUCCUUACUACGACUGCAGGAAGAUGAGAGGAGCAACGAUGAUCAGCACCAGGGCAACGCACACCAGUGAGACAGAGGACAAGAACGUCAUUGCAACGGAGACAAGCAUUGCGUCGCACUCAAGCACCAGAGUGAUGAGCAUUGCAUCUCACAUGAGAGCGAGACAUCUGAUAUUAGGACAUCAGCGGUUUUCACCACUGACUAUGAGUUGAGUAACGUAAAAGGAACUGAACUGUUUGCAUUAGAAACAGGUAAGGACAUUACUAAACCGUACUAUGUGUACUGUAUGUAAGGGUAGAUGAUGUGAGACUCAAAAUGGAAGUUGAUAAAUGUGCAGUAGUUUCUGUGAUAUCAGUUGCACAACCGCAGUUUCAAAAUGGCGAAAUUGACCCCUGCAAACUGUGUUAAAAACGUACAGUAAAGAGUCACUAGUUCUAAGAGGGAAAAUCUGAGUCAAGGUCAAGUGUAAUGGGAGCACUAUAUCUUUAGACUUGCUGGUGGUCAAGGGAAAUGGUCCUGGCCUGCUGGGUAGUUGAAGCUAGACUGGUCACGUGUAUCAAAUCAAAUCAAAUGUAUUUAUAUAGCUCUACUUACAUCAGCUGAUAUCUCAAAGUGCUGUACAGAAACCCAGCCUAAAACCCCAAACAGAAAGCAAUGCAGGUGUAGAAGCACGGUGGCUAGGAAAAACUCCCUGUGUACACAGAGUAACAGCUGUAGAGACAGUAGAGGGUUUGUGUGAAAAAUAUUCCUCUGUGUUUCAGCCAGAGCUAGGAAUGCUAAAACGUAUCACAGCCAAGAUAUAUGUAACUAAGGGGGCUGUACCUAAGCUCUGCAAGACUCGCCCAGCGCCAUAUGCACUUAGAGAAGCUGUUGAAAAACAGCUACUCAAGUUGGAGUCAGAAGGGGUCCUUACUCCAGUUAACUACAGUGAAUGGGCUGUUCCAAAUGUGUCUAUCCUGAAAACAGACAAUACUGUAAAAAUAUGUGGAGAUUACAAGGUAACUAUCAAUCCGUGUCUGGAAGUAGAUCAGUAUCCGUUACCAAAAAUGCAGGACUUGUUCACAAAGCUGACAGGGGGUGAAAAAUUCACAAAGCUGGAUUUGUCACAGGCAUACCAGCAAGUACAGUUAGAGGAGAGGUCUAAGCACUAUCGCACCAUUAAGGUUGUUUAAGGUCAACAGGCUUCCUUAUGGUGUUGCCUAAGCUCCAGCUAUUUAAAAAAUAAUAAUGGAUCAGGUCCAAAAUCAGAUCUUAUUGGUCACAUACACAUAUUUAGCAAAUGUUAUUGAUCACAUACACAUAUUUAGCAGAUGUUACUGGUCACAUAUACAUUUAGCAGAUGUUACUGGUCACAUACACAUAUUUAGUAGAUGUUACUGCGGGUGUAGCGAAAUGCUUGUGCACCUACAUAGCUCCAACAGUGCAGUAGUAUCAAACAAUUCACAACAACACACACAAAUCUAAAGUAAAAUAAUGGAAUUAAGAAAUAUAUAAAUAUUAGGAUGAGCAAUGUCGGAGUGGCAUUGACUAAAAUACAGUAGAAUAGAAUACAGUAUAUAUUUAUGAAAUUAGUAAAGCAGUAGGGUAUGUAAACAUUAUUAAAGUGACUAGUGUUCCAUUAUUAAAGUGACCAGUGAUUCCAUGUCUAUGUACAUAGGGCAGCAGCCUCUAAGGUGCAGGGUUGAGUUACCGGGUGGUAGCCGGCUGGUGAUGGCUAUUUAACAGUCUGAUGUCCUUGAGAUAGAAGCGAGUUUUUCAGUCUCUCGGUCCCAGCUUUGAUGCACCCGUACUGACCUCGCCUUCUGGAUGAUAGUGGGGUGAACAGGCCGUGACUCAGGUGGUUGAUGCCUUUGAUGAUCUUUUAGGCCUUCCUGUGACAUAGGAUGCUAUAGGUGUCCUGGAGGGCAGGCAGUGUGCCACUGGGGAUGCGUUGGACAGACCGCACCACCCUCUGGAGAGUCCUGCAGUUGCGGGCGGUGCAGUUGCCGUACCAGGUGAUGAUACAGCCUGACAGGAUGCUAACAAUUGUGCAUCUGUAAUAGUUUGUGAGGUUCUUAGGGGCCAAGCCGAAUUUCUUCAGCCUCCUGAGGUUGCCUUCUUUACCACCCUGUCUGAUAACGCUUGCCGUGCGGUAGCAGAGAAAACAGUCUAUGACCUGGGUGACUCGAGUCUUUGACCAUUUUUGUGGCUUUCCUCUGACACCGCCUAGUAUAUAGGUCCUGGAUGGCAGGAAACUAAGCCCCAGGGAUGUAAUGGGCUGUACGCACUACCCUCUGUAGCAACUUAAGGUCAGAUGACAAGCAGUUGCCAUACCAGGUGGUGAUGCAACCAGUCAGGAUGCUCUCGAUGGUGCAGCUGUAGAACCUUUUAAGGAUCUGGGGACCCAUGACAAAUCUUUUCAGUCUCCUGAGGGAGAAAAGGUGUUGUCAUGCCCUCUUCACGACUGUCUUGGUAUGUUUGGACCAUGAUAGUUCAUUGCUGAUGUGGACACCAAGGAACUUGAAACUCUCGACCCGCUCCACUACAGCCCUCCACUACACCUGUCGAUGUUAAUGGGGGCCUGUUCGGCCCACCUUUUCCUGUAGGCAGAAACUCAAACAGGAAGUACCCGUGCUAAGGGUUAUUCAAUGCUGGUCUGACCAAUCGGAAUCCAUGCUUCAAGAUUGUUUUGACCAUGUAUAGACGGCAGCAGUCGUGCAAAACUGAAUGCUGAUGUUUUGCCUGUUUGAUUGCCUUACGGAGUUAAUAACUAUACUAUUUGUAUUCGACCAUAUUCCCAGUCACCUUGUCUUGGUUAAAUGUGGUGGUUUGCACUUUCAGUUUUGUGCGAAUGCUGCUAUCUAUCCAAGGUUUCUGGUUUAGGUAGGUUUUAAUAGUUACAGUGGGAACAACAUUGCCUGUACACUUCCCGAUUAACUCAGUCACCGUGUACAUGUAUAUAUCAAUGUUAUUCUCAGAGGUUACCUGGAACAUACCCCAGUCCACGUGAUCAAAACAAUCUUGAAGCAUGGAUUCCGAUUGGUCAGACCAGCGUUGAAUAGACCUUAGCACGGGUACUUCCUGUUUGAGUUUGUGCCUAUAGGAAGGGAGGACCAAAAAGGAGUCGUGAUCUGAUUUGUUGAAGGGAGGGCGGAGGAGGGCCUUGUAGGCAUUCCGGUAGGGGGAGUAGCAGUGAUCGAUCGUUUUAGCAACACGAGUACAACAGUCAAUGCGUUGAUAGAACUUUGCAAGCGUUUUCCUCAAAUUUGCUUUGUUAAAAAGCAAGGUAUAGAUGGGGUCAUCUGCUAUCUUGAUGAGAUACUUAUCACAGGGUGUGACAGAAAAGCACAUGAGAAAUCUGGAAGAAGUGCUAAAAAGAACAAGUGUGCAAUCUGAAAGUUAAAAAAGAGAAAUGUUCUUUCUUCCAGAACAGCGUAGCCUAUCUAGAUGCAGAGGGGAUACACCCCAUGAAACAGAAAACUGAAACUAUUGAGAAGGCUCCCAUUCCUAAACACCACUGAGCUCAGGUCUUUUCUUUCAUUACUUAACUUAACUCAGCAAAAAAGAAACAUCCCUUUAUCAGGACCCUGUCUUUCAAAGAUCAUUCGUAAAAAUCCAAAUAUCUUCACAGAUCUUCAUUGUAAAGGGUUUUAACACUGUUUCCCAUGCUUGUGAAGAAUGAGCUGGAAUGUGAAGCUAAGCGAAACUGGCUAGCUUGUAUCUCUAGGUUCAAUCAUAGUAUACCCCUCUGGUCUCAUGCCUAUUGGACUGUGUGUCGGAGGAAUGCAAUACAGUAAGACCUCCACACUAAUAAACUCAGCAAAAAAAGAAACGUUCCUUUUUCAGGACCCUGAAAUGUACCUUGCUGACAGACCAUAAGCUUCUUAAGAUUCUUGAUCCUAAAAUAGGUGUACCAACACUUGUAGCAGCUAGAAUGCAACGAUGGUAUUUGAUUAUAGCAGCUUACACAUAAUGAGAUACAGCACAAACCGUCAGAGCAGCAUGGCAACGCAGAAGCAUUGUCCAGACUCCCACUGAGAGAUUGUAGGGGUCCUACACCAAAUCCAGUGGAUAGAGUGUAAUUUAUAGAUGACUUGCCAAUCACUGCUAAAGAUAUAUCACUUGAAACUGAGAAAGAUCCUGUAUUGAAAAUGGUGAAGCAGUAUGUAUAUCAGGUUGGCCAAACCGUGUACCAAAUGAAGUCUUCAAACCUUUCGUCAAAAGAAAGUUUGAACUUACCAUUGAGGAUGACUCUAUUCUUUGGGGUUACAGGGUGGUGAUUCCACAAAGCCUGCAAAGCAGACUAUUGGCAGAACUACAUGAGAGUCAUUGGUGUAUAGUUAAGAUAAAAUCCUUAGUUAGAAGUCUUCUCUGGUGGCCUACUCUUGAUGAAUAUAUUGAAACUGAAGUCAGAGACAUAUGCAAGCAGUAGUGUAGCAUGCCUGCAAAAGUGCCAGUACAUACAUGGAAAUGAGCAUCAGGUCCAUGAGAGAGAAUUCACUUAGACUUUGCUGAAGACCACAAGCAAAUGUUUUUGGUUGUUAUGGAUGCUUAUGCUAGAUGGCCAAAAAUUGUACACAUGCAGAGUCCUACUUCAGCUAAAACUGUUGAGGUACUCAGAAAUCAGUUUGCUUCCUAUGAUCUGCCCCAGGAAGUAGUCACACAUAAUGGCACACAAUUCACUUCCUGUGAAAUGAAAAUGUUCUUAAAAUUGAACAGUAUUGAGCAUACCACAUCACCUGCAUAUCACCCAGCUUCAAAUGGGUUAGCGGAAAGGCUAGUGCAAAACCUUAAGAAGUCGCUAACUAAGAACAGAGCAGUAGGUGGUAUGACGUUACAACACUGUGUUGCUAACUUCCUAUAUGGCUACCGCAACACACGACAUCCUAGUACACCAGUGGAGGCUGAUGGGAGGAGCUAUAGGAGGACAGGCUCAUUGUAAUGGCAGGAAUGGAAUUAUUGGAACGGAGUCAAACAUGUGGUUUCCAUAUGUUUGAUGUGUUUGAUACCGUUCCAUCAAUUCCAUUCCAGCCAUUACAAUGAGCCUGUCCUCCUAUUGCUCCUCCCACCAGCCUUAACUGUAGUACAAUGAAAACGCCAGCAGAGCUUUUCUUAAAUAGACAGGUCCAUAUACAACUGUCCCUGGUCAAAACACAGUUCUCUUCGAGGGUACAGACUGAAGGGUCACAAGUCAACAGUGACAAAACACAGGUAAGAUCCUUCUCUGUUGAUCAAUCGGUCUUGGUAAAGAAUUACAAGGGAGGAGAAAAACGGUGAAUGGUGUGAUAACUAAGGUCCUGGGUCCUGUCACAUACAUGGUUAAUGUUGAGGCUAACUAUGUGAAAAGACAUGUGAAUCAGAUGUUUAACAUCAUGCCAAGGAGACAAGAUGAUGCUCUUGCACAGGGAGAUGGUUCUCUUUAUGUAGGUGGAUCUUGGGAUUAUGAUGUUGAUGACAUUGAUUUGGACAUUGAGAUGGACAAUACGAUCAAUGUGCCUCAGAGCACAGCUACUGAAGCAGUUGAGAUGCCUCCACCACAGCCUCAGAAUGUUGUUCUGAGACCCCAUCCUGUCAAUAACAAAUGCACACCACAGAGGCUGGACUUGUAAAAGGACUACUGGAAGAACACGUUUUUUAUUUAAAUGAUGUAAAUAAAAAAAUGUGUAACAAAUUGUUUUGAAUAAUCCUGCUACCUGUAAAAGGAAAUGUUAAAAUACUGUAAAUGGGUUUUGUACUCAGGAGUUUUUUGUUAUAAAAUAAGAGUAUGGUUCUCAAAACGAGUUGAAUUUACAAGGGAGGAGCUGUAGUGUUUGAGAGAUAAGCAGCAUGUUAUUAUGCACAUCUGGUUAAAAUAGUAUGCACAUGUUCAGUGUGUGAUAUUGUAAAUAUGUAUCUGAUUGGAUAUGCAUAGCUUAAUUGGUUGUUGCCAGAGUAUUCAAGUGUGCUACCUUUGAGCGGUUCCAGAUGGCAAUGAACAGGCUAUGUUGUAACCACUGUCAUGUUGUAAAUAAAC